UACGGAGGGUGCAAGCGUUGUCCGGAAUCAUUGGGCGUAAAGGGUCCGCAGGUGGUUUGAUAAGUCUGACGUGAAAUACCGGAGCUCAACUCCGGAACUGCGUUGGAGACUGUUGAACUGGAGUAUCGGAGAGGAAAUUGGAAUUCCAGGUGUAGCGGUGGAAUGCAUAGAUAUCACGCAGAACCCCGAUUGCGAAGGCAGCAUACUGGGCUAUAACUGACGCUGAAGCACGAAAGCGUGGGUAUCGAACAGG
This 253-nucleotide ribosomal RNA is filed under the name Coprobacter fastidiosus NSB1 = JCM 33896. RNAcentral's name for it is "Coprobacter fastidiosus NSB1 partial 16S ribosomal RNA". It matches the Rfam family "Bacterial small subunit ribosomal RNA", at positions 524 to 776 of the family's 1533-position model. Lineage: Bacteria; Pseudomonadati; Bacteroidota; Bacteroidia; Bacteroidales; Barnesiellaceae. The record is from RNAcentral.